This 716-nucleotide small RNA is filed under the name Rattus norvegicus (Norway rat). RNAcentral describes it as "uncharacterized LOC102547530". Lineage: Eukaryota; Metazoa; Chordata; Mammalia; Rodentia; Muridae. The record is from RNAcentral.
CCCCCCCACACACACACACGCUAAUCUGAAUAAAUAGAAUCAGAGCCCACUCCGUUAAUGUCUGAGAGCGGUGGAAGGCUCUAAUGCCCUGCCGGAGAAGGUCACUGAGGUGUCAUGGUCUUGAGAACCAGGGGUGGCUGGUGGGUGGGGCUGGGUUAUGCGGUCGGUCGUUGUCCACGCGACUGAUUUAGAAUCACCUACGAGAUAAGAUGGCUGGGGCUUGCGAGGACGCUUCCAGGGAGUCGUAACUAAAGAGGGAAAAACCCACCCUCAAUGUGGGCAGCACCCUCCUAUGGGCUGGGCGCCUGGACUGACUAUGAAGGAGCUAAACACUGGCGUUCCUCUCUGUUUCUUAAGGGAGAUGCAAAGUGACCCUCACGCUCCCAGUACCUUCCAUGUCCUGAUGACAUUCCUUCAGAGCAUGAGCCAAAGUGAACCCUUACUUCCUUGAGCUGCUAAGUAUUACAUCACGGCAAAGAGAAAUAUAACUCACAGAACUCCAUGCUCGCUAGACACGGUGGUGGGAAGAUACUUGUCAUUGGACUUAAUGCCACCUAGCAAACCAAGAUGAUUUUGACCGGGAAGACUUAAUUGCAUCUCUGAAGACCACUUCCACUCCUACUAAGGUUACUUAAUAAGUGCUGAGUCUCGCACAGAAAUUCAACCUGCAUUCAACCCACCAUAGGGGACGCAAGACAGGAUUUCUCCAUAUAGCU